GAUGAACGCUGGCGGCGUGCCUAAUACAUGCAAGUCGAGCGAACAGACGAGGAGCUUGCUCCUCUGACGUUAGCGGCGGACGGGUGAGUGACACGUGGAUAACAUACCUAUAAGACUGGGAUAACUUCGGGGAACCGGAGCUAAUAACGGAUAAUAUAUUGAACCGCAUGGUUCAAUAGUGAAAGACGGUUUUGCUGUCACUUAUAGAUGGAUCCGCGCCGCAUUAGCUAGUUGGUAAGGUAACGGCUUACCAAGGCAACGAUGCGUAGCCGACCUGAGAGGGUGAUCGGCCACACUGGAACUGAGACACGGUCCAGACUCCUACGGGAGGCAGCAGUAGGGAAUCUUGCGCAAUGGGCGAAAGCCUGAUGGAGCAACGCCGCGUGAGUGAUGAAGGUCUUCGGAUCGUAAAACUCUUUUAUUAGGGAAGAACAAAUGUGUAAUUAUCUAUGCACGUCUUGACGGUACCUAAUCAGAAAGCCACGGCUAACUACGUG
This 497-nucleotide ribosomal RNA is filed under the name uncultured bacterium. RNAcentral describes it as "partial 16S ribosomal RNA". It matches the Rfam family "Bacterial small subunit ribosomal RNA", at positions 28 to 507 of the family's 1533-position model. The record is from RNAcentral.